This 253-nucleotide ribosomal RNA is filed under the name uncultured bacterium. RNAcentral's name for it is "partial 16S ribosomal RNA". It matches the Rfam family "Bacterial small subunit ribosomal RNA", at positions 524 to 776 of the family's 1533-position model. The record is from RNAcentral.
UACGUAGGGGGCAAGCGUUGUUCGGAUUUAUUGGGCGUAAAGAGCGUGUAGGCGGCCAGAUAGGUCAGCUGUGAAAACUCGAGGCUCAACCUCGAGACGUCGGUUGAAACCGUUUGGCUAGAGUCCGGAAGAGGAGAGUGGAAUUCCCGGUGUAGCGGUGAAAUGCGCAGAUAUCGGGAAGAACACCCGUGGCGAAGGCGGCUCUCUGGGACGGUACUGACGCUGAGACGCGAAAGCGUGGGGAGCGAACAGG